AUUGAACGCUGGCGGCAGGCCUAACACAUGCAAGUCGAGCGCUCGGCGGAAGGGUGAGUAAUGUCUGGGAAACUGCCUGCUGGAGGGGGAUAACUACUGGAAACGGUAGCUAAUACCGCAUACCAUCAGAUGUGCCCCGAUGGGAUUGGCUCGUAGGUGGGGUAACGGCUCACCUAGGCGACGAUCCCUAUCUGGUCUGAGAGGAUGACCAGCAACACGGGAACUGUGGCACGGUCAAGACUCCUACGGGAGGCAGCAGUGGGGAAUAUUGCACAAUGGGCGCAAGCCUGAUGCAGCCAGGCCGCGUGUGUGAAGAAGGCCUUAGGGUUGUAAAGCACUUUCAGCGGGGAGGCGUUACCCGCAGAAGAAGCACCGGCUAACUCCAUGCCAGCAGCCGCGGUAAUUC
RNAcentral lists this ribosomal RNA (406 nucleotides) under uncultured bacterium. RNAcentral's name for it is "partial 16S ribosomal RNA". It matches the Rfam family "Bacterial small subunit ribosomal RNA", at positions 30 to 526 of the family's 1533-position model. The record is from RNAcentral.